This 129-nucleotide small nucleolar RNA is filed under the name Sorex araneus (European shrew). Its description in RNAcentral is "Small nucleolar RNA SNORA51 (ENSSARG00000019907.1)". Lineage: Eukaryota; Metazoa; Chordata; Mammalia; Eulipotyphla; Soricidae. The record is from RNAcentral.
GGCCUCCUGGUGCUUACCAUAGGUUAUAUUCUGUAUACCAACUGUCUAGGGAGAGCAUAGUAAUUCUGUUCUCUAUUCGCCUCUGUCCAGGUUCUUUUUCUGGUCUACAUUGAAAAUGGGUUAUCAUGG